Unclassified non-coding RNA from Calidris pygmaea (Spoon-billed sandpiper), 166 nucleotides. The record is from Ensembl. NCBI's taxonomy places the organism in Eukaryota, Metazoa, Chordata, Aves, Charadriiformes, Scolopacidae.
UUGAGAUCCUCUGAGAAUUAAAUCCGCUGCUUGUCUACCGAACAGAUAAUGGCAGGGCAAGCUUCCCACAUCACUGCCUCCUGCCAAUGCGGCUCAGCCCUGACCUGGCUACCAUUCAUGACUGGACAGAGUAGAGUUCAUUCUCUGUAUCCCAUUCAUAGCCACU